CUGCGCAAACUGCUGCCGGCCGUGGAGGAGGCGAACGAGAUUACGAAGGAGGUGGU
Molecule: non-coding RNA, 56 nt
Filed under: Oxyrrhis marina
Lineage: Eukaryota; Dinophyceae; Oxyrrhinales; Oxyrrhinaceae
Source: RNAcentral